GACGAACGCUGGCGGCGUGCCUAAUACAUGCAAGUAGGACGCAGUUGCGAACGGGUGAGUAACGCGUAGGUAACUGCCUAUUAGAGGGGGAUAACUACUGGAAACGAUAGCUAAUACCGCAUACUAGUAGAUGGACCUGCGUUGUAUUAGCUAGUAGGUGGGGUAAUGGCCUACCUAGGCAACGGUACAUAGCCGACCUGGGAGGGAGAUCGGCCACACUGGGACUGGGGCACCGGCCAGACUCCUACGGGGGGGAACAAUAGGGGAUCUUCGGCAAAGGGGGGAAACCUGACCGAGCAACGCCGCGUGGGUGGAGAAGGGUUUCGGGGCGUAAAGGUAUGUUGUGAAAGGAGCGGUACUUAACCAGGAAGGGACGGCUAACUACGUGCCAGCAGCCGCGGUAAUAC
RNAcentral lists this ribosomal RNA (407 nucleotides) under uncultured bacterium. RNAcentral describes it as "partial 16S ribosomal RNA". It matches the Rfam family "Bacterial small subunit ribosomal RNA", at positions 28 to 526 of the family's 1533-position model. The record is from RNAcentral.